UUAGAGGAAGUAAAAGUCGUAACAAGGUUUCCGUAGGUGAACCUGCGGAAGGAUCAUUACCGAGGGAAGGUCUCCUGCAGGCCUGAUCUCCCACCCGUGUGGACUGGACCAUGUUGCUUCGGCGGGCCCGCCGGUUCUCCGGCCGCCGGGAGGCCGGGGGGGCAUUAGUCCCCCCGCCUUCGGGCCUGUGCCCGCCGGGGUCUGACCGAAAACUCAUGUUUUGGAUCGGUGUCUGAGUUUGUGGAACAGUGAGCAAAAAACUUUCAACAAUGGAUCUCUUGGUUCCGGCAUCGAUGAAGAACGCAGCGAAUUGCGAUAAGUAAUGUGAAUUGCAGAAUUCCGUGAAUCAUCGAAUCUUUGAACGCACAUUGCGCCCUCUGGUAUUCCGGAGGGCAUGCCUGUCCGAGCGUCAUUGCCAUCCCUCAAGCGCGGCUUGGGUGUUGGGCCGUUCGUUCCCACCGUGUGGUGGGGACGGGCCCGAAAGGCAGUGGUGGCACCGCUGUGGUCCCGGAGCGUAUGGGGCUCUGUCACCCGCUCUGGGGGGCUGGAUCGGUGCCGGCGUGGAUUGAAUCGAUCGUCAGGUUGACCUCGGAUCAGGUAGGGGUACCCGCUGAACUUAAGCAUAUCAAUAAGCGGAGGAAAAGAAACCAACCGGGAUUGCCCCAGUAACGGCGAGUGAAGCGGCAAGAGCUCAAAUUUGAAAUCUGGCCUCCCCCGCGGGGGCCCGAGUUGUAAUUUGGAGAGGAUGCUUCGGGUCCGGCCCCUGUCGAAGUGCCCUGGAACGGGCCGUCGGAGAGGGUGAGAAUCCCGUCUGGGAUGGGCCGCCGGGCCCGGGUGAAGCUCCUUCGACGAGUCGAGUUGUUUGGGAAUGCAGCUCCAAGUGGGUGGUAAAUUUCAUCUAAAGCUAAAUACUGGCCGGAGACCGAUAGCGCACAAGUAGAGUGAUCGAAAGAUGAAAAGCACUUUGAAAAGAGAGUUAAAGAGCAUGUGAAAUUGUUGAAAGGGAAGCGCUGGCGACCAGACUCACGCGGGGAGGUCCCCCCGGCACGUGUGUCGGCACAUGCCCCCCCGUGUGGGCCAGCGUCGGUUCGGUGGGGUCGCUGAAAGGUCCCCGGAAUGUAGCGCCCUCCGGGGCGUCUUAUAGCCGGGGAUGCCAUGUGACCCUCGGGAUCGAGGAAC
Molecule: ribosomal RNA, 1179 nt
Filed under: Pseudotulostoma volvatum
Lineage: Eukaryota; Fungi; Ascomycota; Eurotiomycetes; Eurotiales; Elaphomycetaceae
Description: eukaryotic LSU rRNA
Rfam family: Eukaryotic large subunit ribosomal RNA (bases 584-1179)
Source: RNAcentral